Molecule: ribosomal RNA, 468 nt
Filed under: uncultured bacterium
Lineage: Bacteria
Description: partial 16S ribosomal RNA
Rfam family: Bacterial small subunit ribosomal RNA
Source: RNAcentral
GACGAACGCUGGCGGCGUGCUUAACACAUGCAAGUCGAACGGAAAGGCCCUGCUUUUGUGGGGUGCUCGAGUGGCGAACGGGUGAGUAACACGUGAGUAACCUGCUCUUGACUUUGGGAUAACUUCAGGAAACUGGGGCUAAUACCGGAUAGGAGCUCCUGCUGCAUGGUGGGGGUUGGAAAGUUUCGGCGGUUGGGGAUGGACUCGCGGCUUAUCAGCUUGUUGGUGGGGUAGUGGCUUACCAAGGCUUUGACGGGUAGCCGGCCUGAGAGGGUGACCGGCCAAAUUGGGACUGAGAUACGGACCAGACUCCUACGGGAGGCAGCAGUGGGGAAUAUUGCACAAUGGGCGGAAGCCUGAUGCAGCAACGCCGCGUGCGGGAUGACGGCCUUCGGGUUGUAAACCGCUUUCGCCUGUGACGAAGCGUGAGUGACGGUAAUGGGUAAAGAAGCACCGGCUAACUACGUG